AAGUUUAUGAAAUUCUGUAGUACCUGA
RNAcentral lists this non-coding RNA (27 nucleotides) under Bombyx mori (domestic silkworm). The record is from RNAcentral. Lineage: Eukaryota; Metazoa; Arthropoda; Insecta; Lepidoptera; Bombycidae.